GUGGGGAAUAUUGGACAAUGGGCGAAAGCCUGAUCCAGCCAUGCCGCGUGUGUGAAGAAGGUCUUCGGAUUGAAAAGCACUUUAAGUUGGGAGGAAGGGCAGUAAGUUAAUACCUUGCUGUUUUGACGUUACCGACAGAAUAAGCACCGGCUAACUUCGUGCCAGCAGCCGCGGUAAUACGAAGGGUGCAAGCGUUAAUCGGAAUUACUGGGCGUAAAGCGCGCGUAGGUGGUUUUGUAAGUUGGAGGUGAAAUCCCCGGGCUCAACCUGGGAACUGCCUCCAAAACUGCAUGACUAGAGUACGGUAGAGGGUAGUGGAAUUUCCUGUGUAGCGGUGAAAUGCGUAGAUAUAGGAAGGAACACCAGUGGCGAAGGCGACUACCUGGACUGAUACUGACACUGAGGUGCGAAAGCGUGGGGAGCAAACAGGAUUAGAUACCCCAGUAGUCC
This 450-nucleotide ribosomal RNA is filed under the name uncultured bacterium. RNAcentral's name for it is "partial 16S ribosomal RNA". It matches the Rfam family "Bacterial small subunit ribosomal RNA", at positions 354 to 796 of the family's 1533-position model. The record is from RNAcentral.